AGAGCGAACGCUGGCGGCGUGCUUAACACAUGCAAGUCGAACGCGCAGCAUUCUGUAGCAAUACAGGGUGUGGGCGCGUGGCGAACGGGUGCGUAACACGUGGAUAACCUUCCUUGAGGUGGGGAAUAACCCAGUGAAAAUUGGGCUAAUACCGCAUAACAUCGCGAUGGCACAUGCUGAUGCGAUCAAAGGCGCAAGUCGCCACAAGAGGGAUCCGCGGCCGAUUAGCUUGUUGGCGAGGUAAUGGCUCACCAAGGCAAUGAUCGGUAGCCGGACUGAGAGGUUGGCCGGCCACACUGGAACUGAGACACGGCCCAAACUCCUACGGGAGGCAGCAGUGGGGAAUAUUGGACAAUGGGCGCAAGCCUGAUCCAGCCAUGCCGCGUGAGUGAUGAAGGCCCUAGGGUUGUAAAGCUCUUUGUGCGGGAAGAUAAUGACGGUACGCAAGAAUAAGCCCGGACUAACUUCGUG
Molecule: ribosomal RNA, 471 nt
Filed under: uncultured bacterium
Lineage: Bacteria
Description: SSU rRNA
Rfam family: Bacterial small subunit ribosomal RNA
Source: RNAcentral